Bombyx mori (domestic silkworm) is the source of this 552-nucleotide long non-coding RNA. RefSeq lists it as uncharacterized. The record is from RefSeq and is a predicted model, not a curated record. NCBI's taxonomy places the organism in Eukaryota, Metazoa, Arthropoda, Insecta, Lepidoptera, Bombycidae. The transcript has 2 exons.
CUAAGCUCCAGUCAUCUGUCACCAACUGUCACUAACUGUCACCUACGAGUCACUGAUUACAAAGUGACAGAUCGAUCACAAAAUUGCAGAGUAUUUGCACAAAAUGGUUUUAAAAUGGAUAUUCUCGUACGUCGUGCUGGUCGUUGCAAUACUGAAGUACCACGAGGCGUUGAGCUGGUCGUGUCUGCUGCAGUUUGAAGGUCGUCUCCGCGCGCUGGUGGAUGAGCUGGCUCCGCGCUGUAGACCCUGCGAAUUCCCCAGGGAACUCAUCAAUGCGGCAUGUCAACAAAAAUCAGAGAAUAUGAUGAAAAUUACAGGAACACUGGUACAUAGUUCGCCGGGAGAGCACCGCCACUCAUUGCAUUGACAAUACAAUUCUGUCUUCACUCGGAGACUGCGUCGCGUCGUGCUGCAGUCGUACUUAUUACAAUGUCACACAUUUAAUCGGCACCCGUCUUGUAGUACCAUUGUGACAUACGAGUACUCCACAUGGCUUACAGAGUAAUUAAUUUGCAAUUCACAUUAUCAAUAAAAUAUACUUAAUGUUAUCUA